This 2030-nucleotide long non-coding RNA is filed under the name Medicago truncatula (barrel medic). RNAcentral's name for it is "long non-coding RNA (MTRU_LNC008416)". The record is from RNAcentral. Lineage: Eukaryota; Viridiplantae; Streptophyta; Magnoliopsida; Fabales; Fabaceae.
CUCUUUCCCAUUAUUUUCUUUUUUUUAUUUCAUUGUCUAGUUUGCAUCCUUUAUUAAUUUUAAUUUUAAUAUUAGUUACUUUUUAAUAUUUAAAUAUUUAAUAAUGUUUAUUUUCUGUUUUUUCUGUACAAUGUUGUCAAUAAGUCCGAAGGUUUUCGGCAGUGGUCCAAAUUUCUUUUUUCGUACGCCGCAUGUUUAGGCAAGUUCAUAGGGUCAAGUUUUUGUUGCCAAAUCCAGCAGCUCAGUAAUAAUCUCUGCAAGUUACUUCCUUAUUCUCUUCAACCCUAAUGCUAUAAAAUCAAACCUGCAAAAAAGAAGAAAAGGGGGAGGCCGCACAAAACAUUCAGCGAGAAAUCAAUCAUUUGCAGCCGCAGCUUUCACAAAAAACCCUAAUUUCCUUUCUUCAAUUUUUAGAGUCAAAGCAAACAAAAAUCAUCAAGAAUCAUGAACAACCGAUGAAUGUUCAUCGUGAUCUCUUUUCACCUUCUUUUCGGAACUGAGCAGCAACAAGGAAUAGAGCUUGAAUCGGAUCGCGAAGGGAGAAGAAAGUGACAACAGAAUCGAACCGGAAUACAUACCGAGCCAAACCGGAUCUGAACCGUAGAGGAAGAGGUAAGCCGAACCGGUACGAAAAGUAACAAAGGGUAAGAGUUUUGUUCAUCCUUUUUUCGAAUUUUGUUUUGUAGAUCUAUGUAAAUCCGUGUUUUGUUUUGAAAAUUUAUUUUAAGAAUUGAAACCAGCAUGCAUAAGGAUGUUUAGAACUACAAGAAAUUUUUGAAUCGGAGUAAGUUUGAACUCCGGCGCGGUGGUGCCACCACCGGCCACCGCGCUGGAAAACACUAUCUCGCCGGAGAAGAUGAUAUAAGGGGGCGGUGUUGUUUUUGAGUAGAGAGAGAAGUGAGGGUUUUGAUUUUAGAGAGAGGAGAGAGUAACCGGUUUGAUAGAGAGAGAAGGUCAUGAGCAAAAUGACUUAAAAAUGAAAAUAUACUCUUUUAUAUGCUCUCUGUUGGAUCAGUUCGGUUGAACCGAACCGGUUUCCGAACCGAUCCAACUCUUCCUCCCUAAACCGGUUUACUGAUCCGUAUCCAACCCCAAUCUGUCCUACUUUGGCCCGUAUGUCUAUUUGCUGAACUGAUUUUCUUACUAGCUGAUAUAUCCCUGUUCAUGCUACUGCACCCCUCCCUGUAUAUAUUUUAGUAACUCUUUUAAAACUCAUGCAUCUUAUUGUUAACUAUAUUUCAUGCAUUUUUAAUGCUUUAAUUGUCGUAUUAUUCUUUAUUUUAGUUUUGUUGAGUGAUUUAAAAUUUUUAUUUUGUGCAUUUUCUUAUUCGGUAGUUUAUUUUUAGUAUAUGAUAUUAUCUUAUGUUUUUUUUUUGCAUCAUUACUAAUAUUAUCUCAUGCAUCCUUUAAUUCUUGUCAAUUAUUUUAUUAUCAUUAAAUUGCUUGGUGUGUAUUUAGGAAUUGUGUAAUUUAAUUUGUGCACUUUUUAUUUCUUGCUAUUAUAUUUCUCUUGAGACCAUAGAAUGUAUCUAGGAGUUGAUGUAAUAAUGUAGGUAACACAAGCACCGACACAUGCACCGACACUAUCCCACUUUAUUUACCGCUUUACGCUUAUUUUUAUUGUUUUACGCCGUUACGCUAGUAUACCGUUUAGUUUAGGAAAAAUCAUUUUACCAAAAAAUCAAAUAUGCAAAACUCCAAAAAUAUUUUCUUAAUAAACCUUGGCUUGUAACCCAAGUGUUUUUUCCUUUUAUUUUCUUAAUCAAAUGCUUAAUUGAAUUAAUAUUCAUAGUAGACUUGAUUUUCUUGUAAUUAAAAUUUGACCAACCUCACCUUAUUUUAUCUCACGCCUUGAGGCCUCUUUCCCUUCUAAAAACCCAUUUUCAAAAAUCUUAAAAUCAACCUAACCCACCAAAAAGAAACUUUUUAGGUGAACUACAUUGGUUUUGAUCCCUUUUCUUUAAGGGUAUGUAGGCAUGGGAUUUUUAUCCUUCCAAAUCAAAUAAAAAUAACCAAAAACAUACUUCUNN